Molecule: long non-coding RNA, 987 nt
Filed under: Gallus gallus (chicken)
Lineage: Eukaryota; Metazoa; Chordata; Aves; Galliformes; Phasianidae
Description: lncRNA (ENSGALG00010000691.1)
Source: RNAcentral
GGCCGGAGGGACCCCCCCCAACCUCCGCCCUAUAGAUCCCAAAAGCGGGGGGGGGGGAAUGGGAUGUGGGGUGGGACCCCAUUGGGAUCCCAUAGGGGGAGUGGGGGCGAAAUGUGUGGGGCAAUGGGGUGUGGGGUGGGACCCCAUUGGGGGACCCCAUAAGGUUUGGGGUUCUCCAUCAGUGGGGUCCCAGCAGAGGAAUGGGGACCCCAAACUGUGGGGCAAUGGGAUGUGGGGUGGGACCCCAUUGGGAUCCCAUUGGGGGAGUGGGGGCUCAAUGUGUGGGGCAAUGGGGUGUGGGGUGGGACCCCAUUGGGGGACCCCAUAAGGUUUGGAGUUCUCCAUCAGUGGGGUCCCAGCAGAGGAAUGGGGACCCCAAACUGUGGGGCAAUGGGAUGUGGGGUGGGACCCCAUUGGGAUCCCAUUGGUGGGGGAAUGGGGGCUCAAUGUGUGGGGCAAUGGGGUGUGGGGUGGGACCCCAUUGGGGGACCCCAUAAACUUUGGGGUUCACCAUAUUGGGGGCUCAAUGUGUGGGGUAAUGGGAUGUGGGGUGGGGUGGGACCCCAUUGGGAUCCCAUGGGAGGGGAAUGGGGGCUCAAUGUGUGGGGCAAUGGAGUGUGGGGUGGGACCCCAUUGGGGGACCCCAUAAGGUUUGGGGUUCUCCAUAUGGAGGUCCCAUUGGGAGGGGAAUGGGGUCCCAAUGUGUGGGGUAAUGGGAUAUGGGGUGGGGUGGGACCCCAUUGGGAUCCCAUAGGGGGAGUGGGGGCGAAAUGUGUGGGGCAAUGGGGUGUGGGGUGGGACCCCAUUGGGGGACCCCAUAAGGUUUGGGGUUCUCCAUAUGGAGGUCCCAUUGGGAGGGGAAUGGGGACCCCAAUGUGUGGGGAAAUGGGGUGUGGGGUGGGACCCCACUGGGGGACCCCAUAAACUUUGGGUCCUCUAUUAGUGGGAUUUUGGGGUCCCCCAUUAUAGGGCUAUGGGGUGACCCCA